Molecule: long non-coding RNA, 1083 nt
Organism: Mizuhopecten yessoensis (Yesso scallop)
Lineage: Eukaryota; Metazoa; Mollusca; Bivalvia; Pectinida; Pectinidae
Exons: 2
Source: RefSeq, a predicted model, not a curated record
AGUGUGUGAAUUCUGCCCUGUAACAAGGGAUAUUUAACUCAUGUUAACAUUUUUGUUUGGAAAGCCAAUCUGUGCGCGAGCUUCGAUUCUUUUUGUAACGCCUCAAACAAACGGACAGAAUGAGGACUCCGGAGCAACAGGAAGUCGCCGGGAAAGCCGCUGGAUAUUAGAGUGGGAAUAACUAAUCUAUCUAUAGACCUCAUUUAAGGUCCAUAUAUAAGCUCUCCGCUAUAUUCUAAACGCCGGAGACUGCUGCGCUGGAGCGAAGUUGUCGGAAUCCCAACCUGUUCGACACGAUGACACUAAUAUCUAUCACUAUUUUUAUUUAUGUAAUCUGUUGUACUGCCAUAUAUGGUCAUCGAUGUCCGGAAUACCCAUCACUGAUCAACAAUCUUAUGGACCAUGACUGCUCCAAUCAACUUGUAGAGGUUCUACAGGUUUUGUGUUCAGAGCAAUCGACAGGUACGGUGGGGAGCCAUGGUCGUGUCAAGCGUGACCAGGCGAUGACAAAUCUCGUGUGUGACUGCUGUAUACGGAGCUGUAGUGUCCAGAAACUUCAAGAAUACUGCUGGCUGACGUAGUGGCAUGUGCGCCAUCGACCGGAACCGGAUGUGGAGAGUGUGAAUAUGAACUAAUUUGUUUUACAAGUAAUGACACGAUGAUAAUGUGAUCUAUCAAGAACAAAGACAUUUAACCAGAAAAGGAAAUAUAAGAGAUCGAACAGUGUAGGAGAGCUGACGAGAAUUAUAUGAACGGUGCUGAAAGUCUAGGAGAAAAAAUGCUGAAAACCUGGCAAGGAUAUCAUAACAUUAAAACAUUACAAAAAGUGCUUCUGCCAUCUCAAAUUAAAGAACGUGAUGUUAUAAUAUAUAUACACGUAUGCUUAUUUUCAUUAUCACAUGCUUUCAAUAGAAACAUUAUCUUGUUAACCCGUCGGUCAACAUUGACAAACUCCGAUUAUCAUAAGCAUGGCAUUUAAUCAUGGAAAUGGUCUGUUUUGUGUAUUUUGUUGUUGUUAUAGUCGGAAAAAUACUCUUAGAGUUUUCUGAUGUUUUUAAAUUAUAUCAAUAUACCCGAAUCAUC